CCCGGUGUCUCUGAGCUGCAUCUAAUGUCACUUUGCAUAACUGUAGAGGAUGGAAACACGACUGGGCUUGCAUUUUUCCUGCUGAAAUUUCAUAAAUGCAUAUAACAUUUGUCAAACUUUUGAACGGAAACCCGGAAUAAAGAAGAGAGGCAAAUCAUGAGGUGGAUGCAGAGGGAGAGUUUGCUGAUUGAAAACCUUGGCUUCUGCUUUUCAUGUUCAGGAGAAAGUGGAAGUAAAGCAGCACUGCCAAAGAAGAACGAAAGGCAAAAACAUUAUCAAUUCAGUCUUGUCUUCUACUUUUCAGCAGCCACAUUUUGCCUCUCCUCUUGAAUUCCCUACUGAGAAAAAAGAGCAGAGUUUUGUCUUCCCACAACCAGGCACAGAUGAAAGUCAUCACUUUUUACUCACUGCCCUCCCCCACCCCCCUCUCCUAACCUCCCUCCAGUUAGCAGCCUGUACGUACGCCCAGCCCCCAACUCGGUUGGGAAACCAUCUGGCCUAAAGCCCACUCCCUAACUCCCUAUCCCUGCUUUUGCCCCGAAGAAGAAAUCAGUUGCUGCAAUCUGCACUGGACAACUUUAAAAGCCUGAAAAGCCAGAGACAAGUGGGUAAUAUGAUUUCUGUGAAAGCCUGUUGGCUCUGUUCCGUCCACUGGACUGGACACUGUCUUUUCAAGUCUUUCUAUCCACAUGGACGGAGGAGACAGAAGCUCACAGUGGCCGAGUGAUGUUACAGGGGAGAACACUUCAUACAGAACAGCUGGAGGCAGCAAAGCGUUCCAGCAUUUGGAGGAAAAACACUGUGGAAACUGAUGCUUCACACUGACAUCCUGGAAUGAUAAUAGUAUGACUUACAGGAAAAUAUUCUUUAACGUGGACGAGAUACUGAAAUACUGAAGCAGUCUGCAGGCCUAGGUGCUUGGUUUUAUACACCUGUGGCCAUGGAAGUGAUUAGAACACCUGAAUCCAAUGAUUUG
Colossoma macropomum (tambaqui) is the source of this 976-nucleotide long non-coding RNA. RefSeq lists it as uncharacterized. The record is from RefSeq and is a predicted model, not a curated record. NCBI's taxonomy places the organism in Eukaryota, Metazoa, Chordata, Actinopteri, Characiformes, Serrasalmidae. The transcript is spliced from 3 exons.